This 459-nucleotide ribosomal RNA is filed under the name uncultured bacterium. RNAcentral's name for it is "partial 16S ribosomal RNA". It matches the Rfam family "Bacterial small subunit ribosomal RNA", at positions 338 to 795 of the family's 1533-position model. The record is from RNAcentral.
CCUACGGGUGGCUGCAGUGAGGAAUAUUGGUCAAUGGGCGGGAGCCUGAACCAGCCAAGUCGCGUGAGGGAUGACGGCCCUGUGUGUUGUAAACCUCUUUUGUCGGGGAGCAAAGUGCGGCACGUGUGCGCUUUUGCGUGUACCCGGAGAAAAAGCAUCGGCUAACUCCGUGCCAGCAGCCGCGGUAAUACGGAGGAUGCGAGCGUUAUCCGGAUUUAUUGGGUUUAAAGGGUGCGCAGGCGGCCGCUUAAGUCAGCGGUAAAAUUGCGGGGCUCAACCUCGGCGGGCCGUUGAAACUGGGUGCCUUGAGUGGGCGAGAGGUAGGCGGAAUGCGUGGUGUAGCGGUGAAAUGCAUAGAUAUCACGCAGAACUCCGAUUGCGAAGGCAGCGUACCGGAGCGCAACUGACGCUGAGGCACGAAGGCGUGGGUAUCGAACAGGAUUAGAUACCCUUGUAGUC